RNAcentral lists this ribosomal RNA (119 nucleotides) under Danio rerio (zebrafish). Lineage: Eukaryota; Metazoa; Chordata; Actinopteri; Cypriniformes; Danionidae. The record is from RNAcentral.
GCUUACGGCCAUACCACCCUGGAAAGGCCCGAUCUCAUCUGAACUCGGAAGUAAAGCAGGGUCGGGCCUGGUUAGUACUUGGAUGGGAGACCGCCUGGGAAUACCAGGUGCUGUAAGCU